GCAAGGAAUUUUGCGCAAUGGGCGAAAGCCUGACGCAGCAACGCCGCGUGGGUGAAGAAGGCCUUCGGGUCGUAAAGCCCUUUUGUUAGGGAAGAAGUUCUGACGGUACCUAAUGAAUAAGCCUCGGCUAACUACGUGCCAGCAGCCGCGGUAAUACGUAGGAGGCUAGCGUUAUCCGGAUUUAUUGGGCGUAAAGAGCGCGUAGGCGGCCUAUUAAGUCAGUUGUGAAAUCUCUUGGCUUAACCGAGAGAGGUCAACUGAAACUGGUAGGCUUGAGGGCAGCAGAGGGAGGUGGAAUUCCCGGUGUAGUGGUGAAAUGCGUAGAUAUCGGGAGGAACACCAGUGGCGAAGGCGGCCUCCUGGGCUGUUCCUGACGCUGAGGCGCGAAAGCGUGGGGAGCAAACAGGAUUAGAAACCCUUGUAGUCC
RNAcentral lists this ribosomal RNA (427 nucleotides) under uncultured bacterium. Its description in RNAcentral is "bacterial SSU rRNA". It matches the Rfam family "Bacterial small subunit ribosomal RNA", at positions 354 to 796 of the family's 1533-position model. The record is from RNAcentral.